This 64-nucleotide transfer RNA is filed under the name Gromphadorhina portentosa (giant Madagascar hissing cockroach). RNAcentral describes it as "tRNA-Arg". Lineage: Eukaryota; Metazoa; Arthropoda; Insecta; Blattodea; Blaberidae. The record is from RNAcentral.
GAAUAUGAAGCAACUUUGCAAUUAGUUUCGACCUAAUAUUAUGGUAUUAACUUACCCUUAUUCU